This 260-nucleotide long non-coding RNA is filed under the name Hordeum vulgare. RNAcentral describes it as "long non-coding RNA (HVUL_LNC018520)". Lineage: Eukaryota; Viridiplantae; Streptophyta; Magnoliopsida; Poales; Poaceae. The record is from RNAcentral.
GGCAGUCCAGUUGUGGCAUUCGGGCAAGCAACGUCCUGGCAGUAGAACCAUGUCGACUGCCAGUUCCUAACAGAUUCAGACAACUGAAGAGCGGGAUAGCUACUUUUACUUUUCUUUUGGAAGCCUAAGCCUCCGCAGAGCUGGAGGAGGUGAGUUUUGUCAUCCGACUGGUUAAGUCUUUUGAUGAUUUGAGAUCUAGCAGAGAAGAUGUGCUUGAAAAGCCCCCAAUGGGGAGGACAGCCGAUGAAACACUCGCACAG